This 468-nucleotide ribosomal RNA is filed under the name uncultured bacterium. RNAcentral describes it as "partial 16S ribosomal RNA". It matches the Rfam family "Bacterial small subunit ribosomal RNA", at positions 28 to 507 of the family's 1533-position model. The record is from RNAcentral.
GACGAACGCUGGCGGCGUGCUUAACACAUGCAAGUCGAACGGGAAGGCCCUGCUUUUGUGGGGUGCUCGAGUGGCGAACGGGUGAGUAACACGUGAGUAACCUGCCCUUGACUUUGGGAUAACUUCAGGAAACUGGGGCUAAUACCGGAUAGGAGCUCCUGCUGCAUGGUGGGGGUUGGAAAGUUUCGGCGGUUGGGGAUGGACUCGCGGCUUAUCAGCUUGUUGGUGGGGUAGUGGCUUACCAAGGCUUUGACGGGUAGCCGGCCUGAGAGGGUGACCGGCCACAGUGGGACUGAGAUACGGCCCAGACUCCUACGGGAGGCAGCAGUGGGGAAUAUUGCACAAUGGGCGGAAGCCUGAUGCAGCAACGCCGCGUGCGGGAUGACGGCCUUCGGGUUGUAAACCGCUUUCGCCUGUGACGAAGCGUGAGUGACGGUAAUGGGUAAAGAAGCACCGGCUAACUACGUG